RNAcentral lists this long non-coding RNA (1065 nucleotides) under Lathyrus oleraceus (garden pea). Its description in RNAcentral is "Pisum sativum (pea) long non-coding RNA (PSAT_LNC007308)". Lineage: Eukaryota; Viridiplantae; Streptophyta; Magnoliopsida; Fabales; Fabaceae. The record is from RNAcentral.
AGAAUUGACUAUCAAGAAUAAUCGAUAAAAAGUUAAUUCAAUUGAUUAAUGAAGUUAAUUAAAUUUAAUUAGAAAAAAUUAAAUAACUUAAAAAAAUGAUUAAUCGAAUAAAAAUAAAAUGAAAAUAAAAUAGAAAUAAAGGGAGGUGUAAUUUGAAAAUGAGGGAGAGAGUAGCAACAUAGCUAGCCCAAAGGCCCCAUUAAAAAUGAAAACUAAUCAAACUAAUAAAACAAUUAAUUUAAUAAAAUAAAAUAAAAUAAACAAACAGCAAAAUAAAAUAAAAAAAAUAUAUAAAAAAAAAAUUUAGCAAAACAAAUGUGGGAGAGCAUCCCAUUCUAAUGUUCUGCAGCUACACAAUCCAUUUUGUGUUGCAGAAUAAUGAUGUAUAAAGGAGCUAAUUAUAAGUCGACAAGUGGCGUUGGAUUUUUUUUAAAAAAAAGAACAAAAUAAUAAUUAGCUAUUAAAAUAAAUGAUAGAGAAAAAAUACAGUUUCUCCCUACUGUUACUCGGUUAAAUUUCCUCUCUCUCUUAACAAUUGUCAUUUAUGGAUUUUUUAGUAUUGGAAUAAAUAGAAAUUAAAUGCAAUAUUUGGAGAAAAAAAAAAGUAGUAAAAGCAAAUUAACCUAUGUUCAUAUAACUAUGAUUUCACUUUUACCUCUUUCAUAACCGUGUUCUUACUCUCUCUAUUUCAAGUUGCUCUGCAACUUCACCUUCCGUCUCCCUCUCAUGGCCAAUCUUGACCGGAGAAGACGGUGGCGGCCGGCCAACCGCGGCGGCGCCGUCGUCUCCUCCGGCGAACAACCACCUCAAAUCUAAAAGAACCAAACACAAACCCCACUUAUUUUUUACUCCUCUACUCAAAUCUAAACUUGUUUUUUCCAAAAUCUUCCUCAAAUGACCGGAUCGGAACCUAAAGAAGAGAAGAAAAAAAAAUACCUAAAUCCUAAUUCGCCUCCCUCUCUCGCGCGGCUACAAACCCUAAAUCAUCCCCCAACAAAACAAAAACCUAAACACUAACUACCAGUUGCUAAAAACUCAGACCCUAAAUCCGAAAUUGGAUCCUCC